AGAGUUUGAUUCUGGCUCAGGAUGAACGCUGGCGGCGUGCCUAACACAUGCAAGUCGAACGAAGCGCGCGGACGGAAUUUCUUCGGGAAGGAAGGCCGCGCGACUGAGUGGCGGACGGGUGAGUAACGCGUGGGCAACCUGCCCUGCACAGGGGGACAACAGCCGGAAACGGCUGCUAAUACCGCAUAAGCGCACAGCUUCGCAUGAAGCGGUGUGAAAAGCUGCGGCGGUGCAGGAUGGGCCCGCGUCUGAUUAGCUGGUUGGCGGGGCAACGGCCCACCAAGGCGACGAUCAGUAGCCGGCCUGAGAGGGUGGACGGCCACAUUGGGACUGAGACACGGCCCAGACUCCUACGGGAGGCAGCACUGGGGAAUAUUGCACAAUGGGGGAAACCCUGAUGCAGCGACGCCGCGUGAGCGAAGAAGUAUUUCGGUAUGUAAAGCUCUAUCAGCAGGGAAGAAACUGACGGUACCUGAGUAAGAAGCUCCGGCUAAAUACGUGCCAGCAGCCGCGGUAAUACGUAUGGAGCAAGCGUUAUCCGGAUUUACUGGGUGUAAAGGGAGCGU
RNAcentral lists this ribosomal RNA (566 nucleotides) under uncultured bacterium. Its description in RNAcentral is "bacterial SSU rRNA". It matches the Rfam family "Bacterial small subunit ribosomal RNA", at positions 8 to 572 of the family's 1533-position model. The record is from RNAcentral.